RNAcentral lists this ribosomal RNA (460 nucleotides) under uncultured bacterium. Its description in RNAcentral is "bacterial SSU rRNA". It matches the Rfam family "Bacterial small subunit ribosomal RNA", at positions 340 to 789 of the family's 1533-position model. The record is from RNAcentral.
UACGGAAGGCAGCAGUGGGGAAUAUUGCACAAUGGGCGAAAGCCUGAUGCAGCUAUGCCGCGUGUAUGAAGAAGGCCUUAGGGUUGUAAAGUACUUUUCAUCGGGGAGGAAAAACAAAACUAAUAAUUUUAUUUCUUGACGUUACCCGAAAAAGAAGCACCGGCUAACUCCGUGCCAGCAGCCGCGGUAAUACGGAGGGUGCUAGCGUUAAUCAGAAUUACUGGGCGUAAAGAGCACGUAGGUGGUUUUUUUAAAGUCAGAUGUGAAAUCCCUGGGCUUAACCUAGGAACUGCAUUUUGAAACUGAAAUACUAGAGUAUCGUAGAGGGAGGUAGAAUUCUAGGUGUAGCGGUGAAAUGCGUAGAUAUCUGGAGGAAUACCUGUGGCGAAAGCGGCCUCCUAAACGAAUACUGACACUGAGGUGCGAAAGCGUGGGGAGCAAACAGGGAUUAGAUACCCGU